This 253-nucleotide ribosomal RNA is filed under the name uncultured bacterium. RNAcentral's name for it is "partial 16S ribosomal RNA". It matches the Rfam family "Bacterial small subunit ribosomal RNA", at positions 524 to 776 of the family's 1533-position model. The record is from RNAcentral.
UACGAAGGGGGCUAGCGUUGUUCGGAAUUACUGGGCGUAAAGCGCGCGCAGGCGGUCCUUCAAGUCAGAGGUGAAAGCCCAGAGCUCAACUCUGGAACGGCCUUUGAGACUAGAGGGCUUGGGUACGGGAGAGGUGAGUGGAAUUCCGAGUGUAGAGGUGAAAUUCGUAGAUAUUCGGAAGAACACCAGUGGCGAAGGCGGCUCACUGGCCCGUUACCGACGCUCAGGCGCGACAGCGUGGGGAGCAAACAGG